RNAcentral lists this ribosomal RNA (459 nucleotides) under uncultured bacterium. RNAcentral describes it as "partial 16S ribosomal RNA". It matches the Rfam family "Bacterial small subunit ribosomal RNA", at positions 339 to 795 of the family's 1533-position model. The record is from RNAcentral.
CUACGGGUCGCUGCAGUGAGGAAUAUUGGUCAAUGGUCGAGAGACUGAACCAGCCAAAUCGCGUGAAGGAUGAAGGUAUUAUGUAUUGUAAACUUCUUUUACAGGGGAAUAAAGUGCGCCACGUGUGGUGUUUUGUAUGUACCCUGAGAAUAAGCAUCGGCUAACUCCGUGCCAGCAGCCGCGGUAAUACGGAGGAUGCGAGCGUUAUCCGGAUUUAUUGGGUUUAGAGGGUGCGUAGGCGGGAUAUUAAGUCAGCGGUGAAAGUUUUCGGCUCAACCGGAAAAUUGCCGUUGAAACUGAUAUUCUUGAGUGCAGAAAAGGUAGGCGGAAUUCGUUGUGUAGCGGUGAAAUGCGUAGAUAUAACGAAGAACACCAAUUGCGUAGGCAGCUUACCAUACUGCAACUGACGCUGAGGCACGAAAGUGUGGGUAUCAAACAGGAUUAGAUACCCCGGUAGUC